GGUUUGGCUCAGUGGCACGAGUGCCUGCCUGGCAAGCACAAGGUCCUGAGUUUGAUUCUCAGUACCA
Molecule: transfer RNA, 67 nt
Filed under: Cavia porcellus (domestic guinea pig)
Lineage: Eukaryota; Metazoa; Chordata; Mammalia; Rodentia; Caviidae
Rfam family: tRNA
About the family: Transfer RNA (tRNA) molecules are approximately 80 nucleotides in length. Their secondary structure includes four short double-helical elements and three loops (D, anti-codon, and T loops). Further hydrogen bonds mediate the characteristic L-shaped molecular structure. tRNAs have two regions of fundamental functional importance: the anti-codon, which is responsible for specific mRNA codon recognition, and the 3' end, to which the tRNAs corresponding amino acid is attached (by aminoacyl-tRNA synthetases). tRNAs cope with the degeneracy of the genetic code in two manners: having more than one tRNA (with a specific anti-codon) for a particular amino acid; and 'wobble' base-pairing, i.e. permitting non-standard base-pairing at the 3rd anti-codon position.
Source: Rfam by way of RNAcentral